GAGACAUGGUGUCCAUGCAUCAGUUGUGUUCAUGGUAAUAUGUGUUUAUUUGUGUUGAUAGAUUACCGGUCUGGCUUAGGGGAUCAUGGCUACUCCAGAGAGACUCAGCGGCCUGCUGAGAUUCAGAAACUCCUUGUGGAAUUCCGGACCCUUUACCACGAGCGCCUUCGACGCAUUGACCAAUCGGAUGACAGCCGGGAGGAGGCUCUGCAGAGCAAGGUGGGCGUGCUACAGUCGUUUGUGCGGGACCUGAGUGAGCAGAAUGAGGUUCUGAUCCAGGCGCUGGAGGCUGAGGAGGCGGAGGGCCGGGCGGUGGAGGGGAGAACAGUCAGCUUACACAAAGAGCUGGAGUGGAGAAAUGGCAGACCAUUACAGGGAUGCGCAGACACACCUGUCUACCCAGGAUGCUAUACUUCAGCAGCUCAAAGAGGCCUGUCUAUCUCAGCAGGAAGCCCAGGUUAAAGUAAGUAUCCUGCACCUCCACUCAGCUCCAUUCACUGUUUGAAACAACAUCAGAGGAACUGGCCGUUACUGCAAGGAGCGG
Molecule: long non-coding RNA, 544 nt
Filed under: Oncorhynchus kisutch (coho salmon)
Lineage: Eukaryota; Metazoa; Chordata; Actinopteri; Salmoniformes; Salmonidae
Description: lncRNA (ENSOKIG00005046020.1)
Source: RNAcentral